GUGAAACGGUGCGGAUGAAGCCACUACCAGGGGACCGGACUGGCCUCUGAAGACUCAGAUCCUGUGUACAGAAAGUGGCACCACGCUCCUACUUGGUCAAGGUGAAUGGAUCACUGUACCGUCGUAACAGGGUUGACCUUCAGAUUGCUGAGCCAGCACCUACUCAGAACCCUGAUGGUCAAAGGGGUUGCAUGACAAAAGACAGAACCCCAGCAAGUCACAUGGAGCCUGAGGCACUGGGCGAAGAGCCAGGGGAUCACAGAGCAUACAACCAUGCUGACAACCAUCCGUGGAGAUCAGUGGACAAAGGGCUGGACAACAAGCCACACUGAAAAAACGCAUGGUUCCACAGAAUACCAACUGGGAUGGAUCCCGAGGCAAAUGUGGCUUCUUCA
Molecule: long non-coding RNA, 395 nt
Filed under: Salmo salar (Atlantic salmon)
Lineage: Eukaryota; Metazoa; Chordata; Actinopteri; Salmoniformes; Salmonidae
Description: lncRNA (ENSSSAG00000082799.1)
Source: RNAcentral